CCUACGGGGGGCAGCAGUUGGGAAUAUUGGACAAUGGGGGCAACCCUGAUCCAGCCAUGCCGCGUGUGUGAAGAAGGCCCUCGGGGUGUAAAGCACUUUCAGUGAGGAAGAACGCCUGGUGGUUAAUACCCAUCAGGAAAGACAUCACUCACAGAAGAAGCACCGGCUAACUCCGUGCCAGCAGCCGGGUAAUACGGAGGGUGCGAGCGUUAAUCGGAAUUACUGGGCGUAAAGCGCGCGUAGGUGGCUUGAUAAGCCGGUUGUGAAAGCCCCGGGCUCAACCUGGGAACGGCAUCCGGAACUGUCAAGCUAGAGUGCAGGAGAGGAAGGUAGAAUUCCCGGUGUAGAGGUGAAAUGCGUAGAGAUCGGGAGGAAUACCAGUGGCGAAGGCGGCCUUCUGGACUGACACUGACACUGAGGUGCGAAAGCGUGGGUAGCAAACAGGAUUAGAUACCCUAGUAGUC
Molecule: ribosomal RNA, 464 nt
Filed under: Vreelandella stevensii
Lineage: Bacteria; Pseudomonadati; Pseudomonadota; Gammaproteobacteria; Oceanospirillales; Halomonadaceae
Description: partial 16S ribosomal RNA
Rfam family: Bacterial small subunit ribosomal RNA
Source: RNAcentral